CCUACGGAGGCAGCAGUAAGGAAUCUUCCACAAUGGACGAAAGUCUGAUGGAGCAACGCCGCGUGCAGGAUGAAGGCUUUCGGGUCGUAAACUGCUUUUAUAUGGGAAGAUUAUGACGGUACCAUAUGAAUAAGGACCGGCUAACUACGUGCCAGCAGCCGCGGUAAUACGUAGGGUCCAAGCGAUAUCCGGAAUUACUGGGCGUAAAGCGUGUGUAGGUGGAUUAAUAAGUGUGAUGCGAAAUCCGGCGGCUCAACCGUUUGGGCUGUGUCGCAUACUGUUAGUCUAGAGGACGGCAGAGGUAAGUGGAAUUACGGGUGUAGCAGUGAAAUGCGUAGAUAUCCGUAGGAACACCAAUGGCGAAGGCAGCUUACUGGGCCACACCUGACACUGAGACACGAAAGCGUGGGGAGCGAACAGGAUUAGAUACCCUGGUAGUCCACGCCGUAAACGAUGCAUACUAUUAGUAUGGGGUAUCGACCCCCUGUGCUGAGAAGCUAACGCGAUAAGUAUGCCGCCUGGGGAGUACGAGCGCAAGCUUAAAACUCAAAGGAAUUGACGGCGUGAGAGNGCGACGACGACGACGAGGGAGAGG
RNAcentral lists this ribosomal RNA (595 nucleotides) under uncultured bacterium. Its description in RNAcentral is "bacterial SSU rRNA". It matches the Rfam family "Bacterial small subunit ribosomal RNA", at positions 338 to 956 of the family's 1533-position model. The record is from RNAcentral.